RNAcentral lists this transfer RNA (75 nucleotides) under Candidatus Woesearchaeota archaeon. RNAcentral describes it as "tRNA-Glu". It matches the Rfam family "tRNA". From Rfam's summary of the family: Transfer RNA (tRNA) molecules are approximately 80 nucleotides in length. Their secondary structure includes four short double-helical elements and three loops (D, anti-codon, and T loops). The record is from RNAcentral. RNAcentral also lists the same sequence under 2 other names. Lineage: Archaea; Nanobdellati; Candidatus Woesearchaeota.
GCCAGGGUAGUAUAGUCCGGUCAAGUAUUCGGCCCUCUCGCGGCUGAGACCCGGGUUCAAAUCCCGGCCUUGGCA